UGGGGAAUAUUGGACAAUGGGCGAAAGCCUGAUCCAGCCAUGCCGCGUGUGUGAAGAAGGUCUUCGGAUUGUAAAGCACUUUAAGUUGGGAGGAAGGGCAUUAACCUAAUACGUUAGUGUUUUGACGUUACCGACAGAAUAAGCACAGGCUAACUCUGUGCCAGCAGCCGCGGUAAUACAGAGGGGGCAAGCGUUAAUCGGAAUUACUGGGCGUAAAGCGCGCGUAGGUGGUUUGUUAAGUUGGAUGUGAAAUCCCCGGGCUCAACCUGGGAACUGCAUUCAAAACUGACUGACUAGAGUAUGGUAGAGGGUGGUGGAAUUUCCUGUGUAGCGGUGAAAUGCGUAGAUAUAGGAAGGAACACCAGUGGCGAAGGCGACCACCUGGACUGAUACUGACACUGAGGUGCGAAAGCGUGGGGAGCAAACA
RNAcentral lists this ribosomal RNA (427 nucleotides) under uncultured bacterium. RNAcentral describes it as "partial 16S ribosomal RNA". It matches the Rfam family "Bacterial small subunit ribosomal RNA", at positions 355 to 774 of the family's 1533-position model. The record is from RNAcentral.